Molecule: long non-coding RNA, 199 nt
Filed under: Nicotiana benthamiana
Lineage: Eukaryota; Viridiplantae; Streptophyta; Magnoliopsida; Solanales; Solanaceae
Description: long non-coding RNA (NBEN_LNC040574)
Source: RNAcentral
CCGAAUUUGGGCUGACCCAAAUCAAUAAACCCUCAAAUACCUAUUCAAAAUCACCCCUUACCCGACCCAAAACCAUCCCUUACCCGGUCCAGCCCCGUCCACCCAAACGAUGCCGUUUUUGCCUCAAUUCAUCACAACCGUGAAAUCCAACGGUCCGGAACUGGUUGGUACCUUACUAUAUCACUGUCUGAAAGAGUCG